AAACGAACGGGAAACUUAAGUAACAUGUUGAAGAAAAUGGGCGGUUUAGGAUUUUUAUCCUGCGGCAUUUUGCUGUUAUGUGUUGUCAGCAAUGUCGAAUCCUAUUCAAAAUAUGGACGCGGUUGUGCUGACAUCGGUUGUUUGCCCAACGAGGAGUGUGUAAUUACAUCGGAUUCUUGUAGUUAUAAUCAACGCGAUGGCAAGGACUGCGGCCAAUAUCCAACUUGCAGGAAGAAGACAAGUGGUGGCGUCAGCACCUCUUCCUCUUCGUCAUCGGUUUAUCCUUCAG
Long non-coding RNA from Musca vetustissima, 289 nucleotides. RefSeq lists it as uncharacterized. The record is from RefSeq and is a predicted model, not a curated record. The transcript has 2 exons. NCBI's taxonomy places the organism in Eukaryota, Metazoa, Arthropoda, Insecta, Diptera, Muscidae.